This 484-nucleotide ribosomal RNA is filed under the name uncultured bacterium. Its description in RNAcentral is "partial 16S ribosomal RNA". It matches the Rfam family "Bacterial small subunit ribosomal RNA", at positions 30 to 507 of the family's 1533-position model. The record is from RNAcentral.
AUUGAACGCUGGCGGCAGGCCUAACACAUGCAAGUCGAGCGGAUGAAGGGAGCUUGCUCCUGGAUUCAGCGGCGGACGGGUGAGUAAUGCCUAGGAAUCUGCCUGGUAGUGGGGGAUAACGUCCGGAAACGGGCGCUAAUACCGCAUACGUCCUGAGGGAGAAAGUGGGGGAUCUUCGGACCUCACGCUAUCAGAUGAGCCUAGGUCGGAUUAGCUAGUUGGUGGGGUAAAGACCUACCAAGGCGACGAUCCGUAACUGGUCUGAGAGGAUGAUCAGUCACACUGGAACUGAGACACGGUCCAGACUCCUACGGGAGGCAGCAGUGGGGAAUAUUGGACAAUGGGCGAAAGCCUGAUCCAGCCAUGCCGCGUGUGUGAAGAAGGUCUUCGGAUUGUAAAGCACUUUAAGUUGGGAGGAAGGGCAGUAAGUUAAUACCUUGCUGUUUUGACGUUACCAACAGAAUAAGCACCGGCUAACCUCGUG